This 31-nucleotide non-coding RNA is filed under the name Rattus norvegicus (Norway rat). The record is from RNAcentral. Lineage: Eukaryota; Metazoa; Chordata; Mammalia; Rodentia; Muridae.
UACAAUAAGGAAAACAGUGACAUGUGCAAGA